RNAcentral lists this unclassified non-coding RNA (390 nucleotides) under Hevea brasiliensis (rubber tree). The record is from RNAcentral. Lineage: Eukaryota; Viridiplantae; Streptophyta; Magnoliopsida; Malpighiales; Euphorbiaceae.
UGUACCAUUUCUUGCUGAAUUUUUAAGGUAUUUUAUUUUUCACUUAAAAUCUUAAGUAGAACAUUGAACAUAACUGCAGCUGAUUAUGUCAUAUUCCAUCAGUAAUAUAACUAAUUCAUAAAAAUAUCAAGUUUGCUACACUCCUUUGGAUAUGUAUAGAUAUCAGAUAAUGGGUAAUUUGUAGAUUGUUAUCACUGGCAUAUUAUUCAGGUGCCUACUUCCUUCUCACUUAAAUAUGCAUAAAUAUUACCUAUUUCUUUCACCAUUGGCUUUUAUCUUGUAUUGAUGUCUUUUGGAAUAAGCUUAACACAAUUGAAAAUGAUGGUUUGAUUAUCUGUUUUUUUUAAUUAUUAUUUUUUAUUCUUAAGGUUAUUUCUGAGGAGGAAAUUG